RNAcentral lists this ribosomal RNA (253 nucleotides) under uncultured bacterium. RNAcentral's name for it is "partial 16S ribosomal RNA". It matches the Rfam family "Bacterial small subunit ribosomal RNA", at positions 524 to 776 of the family's 1533-position model. The record is from RNAcentral.
GACGUAGGAGACGAGCGUUGUCCGGAUUUACUGGGCGUAAAGGGCGCGCAGGCGGUCGCGCGCGUCGGGCGUGAAAGCCCCCGGCUCAACCGGGGCGGGUCGUCCGAGACGGCGUGACUGGAGGGCGGCAGAGGCUGGUGGAAUUCCCGGUGUAGUGGUGAAAUGCGUAGAGAUCGGGAGGAACACCCGUGGCGAAGGCGGCCAGCUGGGCCGACCCUGACGCUGAGGCGCGAAGGCGCGGGGAGCGAACGGG